RNAcentral lists this ribosomal RNA (250 nucleotides) under uncultured bacterium. RNAcentral's name for it is "partial 16S ribosomal RNA". It matches the Rfam family "Bacterial small subunit ribosomal RNA", at positions 524 to 773 of the family's 1533-position model. The record is from RNAcentral.
AACGUAGGAGGCGAGCGUUAUCCGGAUUUACUGGGCGUAAAGCGUGCGCAGGCGGUUGUGCAAGACAGGUGUGAAAUCCCCGGGCUUAACCUGGGAACUGCACUUGUGACUGCACGGCUAGAGUACGGCAGAGGGGGAUGGAAUUCCGCGUGUAGCAGUGAAAUGCGUAGAUAUGCGGAGGAACACCGAUGGCGAAGGCAGUCCCCUGGGCCUGUACUGACGCUCAUGCACGAAAGCGUGGGGAGCAAAC